AGCUCCAAUAGCGUAUAUUAAAGUUGUUGCAGUUAAAAAGCUCGUAGUUGGAUUUCUGUUUUGGGUAUCCGGUCAGUUCAAUGAACUCGUACCAUGGAAACUCGAGACAUGUUUGGCGUAGUUUGUGGGCUGGCAUUAAUUUGUUGGCUCAUUAAACUUGCCUCGUUUACUGUGAAUAAAUUAGAGUGUUUAAAGCAGGCGUUUGCAUUGAAUACAUUAGCAUGGAAUAAUAAGAUACGACUCAGGUGGUCUAUUUUGUUGGUUUGCACACCAGAGUAAUGAUUAAUAGGGACAGUUGGGGGUAUUCAUAUUUCAGCGUCAGAGGUGAAAUUCUUAGAUCGCUGAAAGAUGAGCUUAGGCGAAAGCAUUUACCAUGAAUGUUUUCAUUAAUCAAGAACGA
Molecule: ribosomal RNA, 400 nt
Filed under: phytoplankton environmental sample
Lineage: Eukaryota
Description: partial small subunit ribosomal RNA
Rfam family: Eukaryotic small subunit ribosomal RNA
Source: RNAcentral